AGAGCGAACGCUGGCGGCAGGCCUAACACAUGCAAGUCGAGCGCCCGUAGCAAUACGGGAGCGGCAGACGGGAGAGUAACACGUGGGAACGCGCCCUUCGGUUCGGAAUAACUCAGGGAAACUUGAGCUAAUACCGGAUACGCCCUUACGGGGAAAGAUUUAUUGCCGAAGGAACGGCCCGCGUCCGAUUAGCUAGUUGGUGAGGUAAUGGCUCACCAAGGCGACGAUCGGUAGCUGGUCUGAGAGGAUGACCAGCCUCACUGGGACUGAGACACGGCCCAGACUCCUACGGGAGGCAGCAGUGGGGAAUAUUGGACAAUGGGCGCAAGCCUGAUCCAGCCAUGCCGCGUGAGUGAUGAAGGCCUUAGGGUUGUAAAGCUCUUUUAGCAGGGAAGAUAAUGACGGUACUGCAGAAAAGCCCGGCUAACUUCGUGCCAGCAGCCGC
This 445-nucleotide ribosomal RNA is filed under the name uncultured bacterium. RNAcentral describes it as "SSU rRNA". It matches the Rfam family "Bacterial small subunit ribosomal RNA", at positions 26 to 518 of the family's 1533-position model. The record is from RNAcentral.